This 301-nucleotide ribosomal RNA is filed under the name uncultured bacterium. Its description in RNAcentral is "partial 16S ribosomal RNA". It matches the Rfam family "Bacterial small subunit ribosomal RNA", at positions 509 to 807 of the family's 1533-position model. The record is from RNAcentral.
CAGCCGCCACGGGAAAACGAAGGGGGCUAGCGUUGCUCGGAAUGACUGGGCGUAAAGGGCGCGUAGGCGGAUGGCACAGUCAGAUGUGAAAUUCCCUGGCUUAACCUGGGGGCUGCAUUUGAUACGUGUUGUCUAGGGUGAGGAAGAGGGUCGUGGAAUUCCCAGUGUAGAGGUGAAAUUCGUAGAUAUUGGGAAGAACACCGGUGGCGAAGGCGGCGACCUGGUCCUUGACUGACGCUGAGGCGCGAAAGCGUGGGGAGCAAACAGGAUUAGAUACCCGCGUAGUCCCUGUCUCUUAUAC